This 279-nucleotide ribosomal RNA is filed under the name uncultured bacterium. Its description in RNAcentral is "partial 16S ribosomal RNA". It matches the Rfam family "Bacterial small subunit ribosomal RNA", at positions 506 to 784 of the family's 1533-position model. The record is from RNAcentral.
UGCCAGCAGCCGCGGUAAUACGGAGGGGGUUAGCGUUGUUCGGAAUUACUGGGCGUAAAGCGCGCGUAGGCGGACUAUUAAGUCAGAUGUGAAAGCCCACGGCUUAACCGUGGAACUGCAUUUGAAACUGGUAGGCUUGAGUAUGAGAAGGGGUAGUGGAAUUCCCAGUGUAGCGGUGAAAUGCGUAGAUAUUGGGAAGAACACCAGUAGCGAAGGCGGCUAACUGGCUCGGUACUGACGCUGAGAUGCGAAAGCGUGGGGAGCAAACAGGAUUAGAUA